This 1102-nucleotide long non-coding RNA is filed under the name Homo sapiens (human). RNAcentral describes it as "HSALNT0204301". Lineage: Eukaryota; Metazoa; Chordata; Mammalia; Primates; Hominidae. The record is from RNAcentral.
GUCACUAACAGGCUUUGGUGGAAAAUCACCUCCGCUGUUCCCCUGCUGGUGCGACCACUGUGAUGAGACAGAGCCUUGGACACCCAGUGGUCAGUUUGCUGUACCUGCACACCUCUGUCUUCCAAAAGUUUAUUUCCUCCUGUGUUCCCAAAUGGCUGCUGUAUCUACAAUAUAACAUGCUACAUUGUGCUGGACUGGCAUUCUAGCUCAUCCUGGGUCUUUCUUUGUCUGGUUGGCUGCAUUUGGAAGGACCUUGCUGAACUUGACCUCUGGUUAUGCUCUGAAACUGUUCUCUUAAAAAGCUACCAUGGAGUGGUCCUGCCAGCCCUGGCAAUGUCUCACCACCUGUGCAUCAGUGCCAGCCAAGUUGGAAGAUAGGAUGGAUGCCUGCACACUUAAAUUUUUAAUUGUUGACAUCUCUAAGUCUGGAAGUAAUUUUGUCAAUAAUGUAUUAGAGUUACAUAGCUAGAUUAUUCUACAGUAAGUUUAUGGGGUAUACUCAGUUUAUUUCAUUCAAUAAAUUGUAUAAUAAACACAGAUCCAGAAAUGGUGUUGAGUGAUGAGAUUAUAUUGAUGAAAAGACACAGUGAUUGCCUUCAAAGAGAUCAUAUUCCGGUAUGACAAUAUUUAAGAAUUGUAAUAUAUUGUGUUAAGUUUCAUAAUAGGAGUUUGCAGUUUUUGUCACCUUCUCACCUUUCUCACUUGCCUCAGAUAAGAGACAAAUCAUAGUCUCCAGUAGAUUCGCUAUAUUUGUUAUAAUUGAUUAGAAGACUUGAUAAUGAGAGAAGUCCAAACAUGCUACUUUUCAUGAGCUUUGUUUUUCUAAUUAAACAUGCAUCAUACUAUAUCAAUGACUAAAACAGCAAUUUUUAAUAUUUGUUCAGAGGCCGGGCACAGUGGCACAUGCCUGUAGGCCCGGCACUUUGGGAAGCUGAGGUGGGCAGAUUGCAUGAACCCAGGAGUUAGAGUCCAGCGUGGGCAACAUGGCAAGACCCCAUCUCUACAAAAAUACAAAAAUUAGCUGGGUGCAGUGGCUUGGGCCUAUAUCCCAGCUACUUGGAAGGCUAAGAUAGGAGGAUACUCUGAGCUAGGGAGGUCGAGG